RNAcentral lists this ribosomal RNA (468 nucleotides) under uncultured bacterium. RNAcentral's name for it is "partial 16S ribosomal RNA". It matches the Rfam family "Bacterial small subunit ribosomal RNA", at positions 28 to 507 of the family's 1533-position model. The record is from RNAcentral.
GACGAACGCUGGCGGCGUGCUUAACACAUGCAAGUCGAACGGAAAGGCCCUUUUUGGGUGGUGUUCUCGUGUGGCGAACGUGUGUGAAACACGUGUGUAAUCUCCCCUUGAUUGGGGUAUAUCUUGGGAACACUGGGUCUUAUCGGGUAGAUGAGCUUCUUCUGCGGGGGGGGUGUGGGAGAUUUUCGGCGUGGGGGUGGGGGCUCGCGGGUUAUGAGCUUGUGGGGGGGGUAGGGGCUUACAAGGUUUUUGACGGGUAGCCGGCGUGAGAGGGUGACCGGCCACAUUGGGACUGAGAUACGGCCCAGACUCCUACGGGAGGCAGAAGUGGGGAAUAUUGCACAAUGGGCGGAAGCCUGAUGCAGCAACGCCGCGUGAGGGAUGACGGCCUUCGGGUUGUAAACCUCUUUCCGCAGGGACGAAGCGUGAGUGACGGUAAUGGGUAAAGAAGCACCGGCUAACUACGUG